UCGCAAGACUUUCGAUAGUGGCGGACGGGUGAGUAACACGUAGGAAUCUACCUUUGAGAGUAGGAUAACCCGGGGAAACCCGGAUUAAUACUGCAUACGACCUGAGGGUGAAAGGAGGCUGGGUAACCAGCUUACGCUCAAAGAUGAGCCUGCGUUGGAUUAGCUAGUUGGUGGGGUAAAAGCCUACCAAGGCGAUGAUCCAUAGCUGGUCUGAGAGGACGGACAGCCACACUGGGACUGAGACACGGCCCAGACUCCUACGGGAGGCAGCAGUGGGGAAUAUUGGACAAUGGGGGAAACCCUGAUCCAGCGAUGCCGCGUGUGUGAAGAAGGCCUUCGGGUUGUAAAGCACUUUUGUUGGGGAGGAAGUGAGCGGUCUGAAUAAGGCCGUUCAUUGACGUUACCUAAAGAAUAAGCACCGGCUAACUCUGUGCCAGCAGCCGCGGUAAUACAGAGGGUGCGAGCGUUAAUCGGAAUUACUGGGCGUAAAGGGCGUGUAGGCGGGACGAUAAGUCGGAUGUGAAAGACCUGGGCUUAACCUGGGUUGGUCAUUCGAAACUGCCGUUCUAGAGUGAAGUAGAGGGUAGUGGAAUUUCCGGUGUAGCGGUGAAAUGCGUAGAUAUCGGAAGGAACACCAGUGGCGAAGGCGGCUACCUGGACUUUAACUGACGCUGAGGCGCGAAAGCGUGGGGAGUGAACAGGAUUAGAUACCCUGGUAAUCCACGCUGUAAACGAUGAGAACUAGCUGUUGGUGGGGUAAAACCCGUCGGUAGCGAAGCUAACGCGAUAAGUUCUCCGCCUGGGGAGUAC
Molecule: ribosomal RNA, 810 nt
Filed under: uncultured Pseudomonadota bacterium
Lineage: Bacteria; Pseudomonadati; Pseudomonadota
Description: bacterial SSU rRNA
Rfam family: Bacterial small subunit ribosomal RNA
Source: RNAcentral